ACGGAGGAAAAGGAAACCAACAGGGAUUGCCUUAGUAACGGCGAGUGAAGCGGCAAUAGCUCAAAUUUGAAAGCUGGCGUCUUCGACGUCCGCGUUGUAAUUUGUAGAGGAUGCUUCGGCGAAGACUCCUGCCUAAGUCCCCUGGAACGGGGCGUCAUAGAGGGUGAGAAUCCCGUAUGUGGCGGGCAGUCUAAGCCAUGUGAAGCUCCUUCGACGAGUCGAGUUGUUUGGGAAUGCAGCUCUAAAUGGGAGGUAAAUUUCUUCUAAAGCUAAAUAUUGGCCAGAGACCGAUAGCGCACAAGUAGAGUGAUCGAAAGAUGAAAAGCACUUUGGAAAGAGAGUUAAAAAGUACGUGAAAUUGUUGAAAGGGAAGCGCUUGCAACCAGACUCGCUCGUAGUUGCUCAGCCGGCCUCUUGGCCGGUGUACUCUUCUACGAUCGGGCCAGCAUCAGUUCGGGCGGCAGGAUAAAGGUGUCGGGAAUGUAGCACCCUUCGGGGUGUGUUAUAGCCCGGCGCGGAAUGCUGCCAGCCUGGACUGAGGAUCUCGCUUCGGCAAGGAUGCUGGCGUAAUGGUUGUAAGCGGCCCGCU
RNAcentral lists this ribosomal RNA (589 nucleotides) under Phyllosticta capitalensis. Its description in RNAcentral is "partial large subunit ribosomal RNA". It matches the Rfam family "Eukaryotic large subunit ribosomal RNA", at positions 50 to 653 of the family's 3401-position model. Lineage: Eukaryota; Fungi; Ascomycota; Dothideomycetes; Botryosphaeriales; Phyllostictaceae. The record is from RNAcentral.